UGGGGAAUUUUGGACAAUGGGCGAAAGCCUGAUCCAGCAAUGCCGCGUGUGUGAAGAAGGCCUUCGGGUUGUAAAGCACUUUUGUCCGGAAAGAAAUCCUUGGCUCUAAUACAGUCGGGGGAUGACGGUACCGGAAGAAUAAGCACCGGCUAACUACGUGCCAGCAGCCGCGGUAAUACGUAGGGUGCAAGCGUUAAUCGGAAUUACUGGGCGUAAAGCGUGCGCAGGCGGUUUGCUAAGACCGAUGUGAAAUCCCCGGGCUCAACCUGGGAACUGCAUUGGUGACUGGCAGGCUAGAGUAUGGCAGAGGGGGGUAGAAUUCCACGUGUAGCAGUGAAAUGCGUAGAGAUGUGGAGGAAUACCGAUGGCGAAGGCAGCCCCCUGGGCCAAUACUGACGCUCAUGCACGAAAGCGUGGGGAGCAAACAGGAUUAGAUACCCUGGUAGUCCAGCGCCCUAAACGAUGUCAACUAGUUGUUGGGGAUUCAUUUCCUUAGUAACGUAGCUAACGCGUGAAGUUGACCGCCUGGGGAGUACGGUCGCAAGAUUAAAA
RNAcentral lists this ribosomal RNA (552 nucleotides) under uncultured bacterium. RNAcentral describes it as "partial 16S ribosomal RNA". It matches the Rfam family "Bacterial small subunit ribosomal RNA", at positions 355 to 899 of the family's 1533-position model. The record is from RNAcentral.